Salmo salar (Atlantic salmon) is the source of this 1298-nucleotide long non-coding RNA. RefSeq lists it as uncharacterized. NCBI's taxonomy places the organism in Eukaryota, Metazoa, Chordata, Actinopteri, Salmoniformes, Salmonidae. The record is from RefSeq and is a predicted model, not a curated record.
CUCAUAGCUCACAUGAUGGCUUUCUCUCAUGCCUUCCCACACAGUGUACAAUCGCGGGAUUGUGGCAUCACUGAAGAUCUGAAACCGGCGGGGUAGGACGUCAACAACAGCCAACAAAUUACUAGAAAUUCAGACAAUUUGUAAAAUGAAGUUUUUCAGGUUCCUGGCCACAUAUAUUCUCAUGUAUUUUCGAAUGGACUUUCUCUGACUGUUGACCGCGGAAAUCCCUGAACGAGGUUAUCAGAAAGCUGCGAUAAGAGAGGAAAACGGAGAAGAAGAGAAGCAGCCCGACGCGGUGUGAAGGAAUGGAAUAAACCCCAGAGCAGAACCAGAGGAAGGAGGGAUGACUGCCGUGAGAUGAAAGAGGGAUAGAGCAGGUCACAGAACAACUCGAGAGACCAUUCAGCUGUGAAGAGACAGAAGAAGCCAGAAGAUCACACAAACACACCCAAAGGUGAGAUGCAGCUAUGCCAGAGGACGAGACCAAGAGUAAGCAGAGAAGAUGUCUGCAUUAAUAUCCAAGCGUUCAGUCUCGCUACAUACAUUUCAAGUGGAUGCAGUACCCAACUCUCACCUCUGGGGGUCACUACUGUCCCGCCUUGAUAUCAGGAGGCCUGAGCUGCCUUUCCCCUCGGCCAGGAUCUGCACGGCCCUGUAGAGCAGGUGUACCUCCAGCCCCCCUUCCUCUUCACCUGCCACAUGGUCAUCACCCUGUACUUUCCUUUCACUUCUGGCCUCGCACGUGUAUGCCUCCGCCUCCACGGGGAUGGCGUUCUGGAAGCAGUGUAAAGAGAUGACGCCCUCCUCGGCCUUCCACUCCUGGAAGAUGUACUGCACCUUGGAGCACAGUCUCUGUCGCAAAAUGGUGGGAAAGACAUGGACAUACACUUGCUAUUGUAAUAUAUUUUAUUUGCACAUUCAUAGUCAUUGUCCUUUGCAAUACAAUACAAUAAUACAACUUAAUUUGUCAACUUAAGGCAAUGAGUGUAAGGGCUGCAGUGGUUUAUCAUAUAAACACACAGACAGAAGAAAUUAUGUAAACAUAAAUAACAACAGUGUUGUCACAGUGUGAUUAGGUUAUUUGACUGUCAAUUGAGUAAAGACAGUAAAAAACUAUUAAUCCAACCUCAAACGUCUUAUCCCGAAUACAGUGGUGAUUUUGGCAUGUAAAUCUUGGUGGGGCAAAAAAUAUACUGUCACGUCCUGACCAGUAUAGGGGUUAUUGGUUAUGGUAGUUUGGUCAGGACGUGGCAGAGGGUAUUUGUUUUAUAUGGUUCGGGGGUUAUGUGUAUGUCGAG